CGCAGCCCAAGUGGUGCUCGUUAUUAUUGGGCCUAAAACGUCCGUAGCCGGCCUUGUAAAUCCAUGUGGAAAUCGGAGGGCCUAACCCUCCGAAGGGCGUGGACACUGCAAGGCUUGGGACUGGGUGAGUUCGGAGGUACUUCCGGGGUAGGGGUGAAAUCCUGUAAUCCUGGGAGGACCACCAGUGGCGAAGGCGUCCGAAUAGAACGGAUCCGACGGUCAGGGACGAAGCCCUGGGGCGCAAACGG
Molecule: ribosomal RNA, 248 nt
Filed under: uncultured euryarchaeote
Lineage: Archaea; Methanobacteriati; Methanobacteriota
Description: partial 16S ribosomal RNA
Rfam family: Archaeal small subunit ribosomal RNA
Source: RNAcentral